UCACUUGACAAAUAAAAUAGAAAAUAUGUUAUUGAUUCAUUAGCCUUUUGAAAGAAAGCGGAAUUGAUGUUGAGGAAACCUAAUCUAUUGUCUGCACAUUUUGUAUUACAAACCUAGAAAGAAAGAAAAUAAUAUUCAAUACUACGAAGAAAACUAAAAAUUUGUUUGUACCUUGAGAUUGAUUCCUGUUUUAGAACAUUAUGCAGAGCAGAAAGAGGAAUAGCAGCUAGUGACAAUUGCGUCUUCUCUGAAGGUCCUCAGGAGUUCUAAAAUACACAUGCAAGAUGAAAUAUUUCAAUUAAGUAGAUCCAAAAUCGCAUAAAUUAACCUACAAAAAUACUGAAAAAGCUAAAUUUUACAACCUAAAAUACCUAAUGUAGAAGGAGAAAGAGGACUUACAUCUCGAAUUCAAUAGAGUGUUAUAUCCUUCUUUAAAAUACACCGAUUCAACCAAAAUUUCUGUUACUUUCAGUAGAGAAUCAAAAAACAGAAAAGCCACAAAAUAGAGGAAAAAUCAGUAAAGGAAAAACACAAAUUAACAGAGGAAAUAAACCUAAAACCCACAUGCAAGAAGAAAGAAACACAGAAAAGGAAAGUCAAAUAAUGGGGAAGAGAAAUUACCAUAGACAUGAACCCACAAUCCACAUCGCUCAAAAUCAAAGAAUGGGGAAGAAAGCAAAAAAAUUGCAUCUCUUUCAUCACGAAGAAAGGAAUUACCAUACAAAAAAUAUUUUGUGAAUCUCUUUCAGUUUUUUUAUUCUUCAAGUGAGGGUUUUUAAUUUUUCAAGUGGAAGAAAAUGGAAGCUGAAAAGCUUCUCUUUCGUGAAAGUGAGGGAGGGGUUUGGGAAAAAGAAAUAGGGAAAUGAUCAAGAAAGAGGAAACUAUUGACCGCCGCAAAUAUAAUAUUUUUAUGGGGUUGUAUAAAACCCCCAAUUUGAUAUAAAUUGCAGAGGUUACAAUAACCGCCACAAUUAAACCUCCGCAAACUCACCAUUUUUUUGUAGUGAGUAGUGACGAGGUUCAAGUCAAGACACUCACUAGACCAAUAACUUAUGCAUAAUAUCAAUAUAAACAAUCAACGGAAAGCAUAACCAGAUAGAUAGCAAAAAGGAAUAGGCAUGUGAUAACAUAGCAAAUUAACCAAAACUCCUA
Molecule: long non-coding RNA, 1152 nt
Filed under: Nicotiana tabacum (common tobacco)
Lineage: Eukaryota; Viridiplantae; Streptophyta; Magnoliopsida; Solanales; Solanaceae
Description: long non-coding RNA (NTAB_LNC007905)
Source: RNAcentral